ACGCUCGACACCUACGGAGGCAGCAGUGGGGAAUAUUGCACAAUGGGGGAAACCCUGAUGCAGCGACGCCGCGUGAGUGAAGAAGUAAUUCGUUAUGUAAAGCUCUAUCAGCAGGGAAGAAAGUGACGGUACCUGAGUAAGAAGCCCCGGCUAACUACGUGCUAGCAGCCGCGGUAAUCUGAGCGGGCUGGCAAGGC
RNAcentral lists this ribosomal RNA (197 nucleotides) under uncultured bacterium. RNAcentral's name for it is "partial 16S ribosomal RNA". It matches the Rfam family "Bacterial small subunit ribosomal RNA", at positions 328 to 539 of the family's 1533-position model. The record is from RNAcentral.